RNAcentral lists this microRNA precursor (58 nucleotides) under Panagrellus redivivus. RNAcentral's name for it is "microRNA prd-mir-7950c precursor". Lineage: Eukaryota; Metazoa; Nematoda; Chromadorea; Rhabditida; Panagrolaimidae. The record is from miRBase by way of RNAcentral.
GAGUUCAUGUUUUUUGCUGAUUAUUUGUUUGAAAUUAGCCGGCGAAAGAGUUGAACUC